UACGUAGGGGGCAAGCGUUGUCCGGAAUCAUUGGGCGUAAAGCGCGUGUAGGCGGCUCGAUAAGUCUGCUGUGAAAGUCCAGGGCUCAACCCUGGGAUGCCGGUGGAUACUGUCGAGCUCGAGUCCGGAAGAGGAGUGUGGAAUUCCUGGUGUAGCGGUGAAAUGCGCAGAUAUCAGGAGGAACACCGGUGGCGAAGGCGGAUCUCUGGGCCUUACCUGACGCUCGAGGUGCGAAAGCUAGGGAGCGAACAGG
This 253-nucleotide ribosomal RNA is filed under the name uncultured bacterium. RNAcentral describes it as "partial 16S ribosomal RNA". It matches the Rfam family "Bacterial small subunit ribosomal RNA", at positions 524 to 776 of the family's 1533-position model. The record is from RNAcentral.